CCCGCCCGCCGCGCUUGGGGGUGGGCAGGAAGGGGUUACCCCCAGGCAGGGCAUCCCCAGACACAGCACCCAGCCGGGGUUGGGCUACAUCAGGGGUCCCCACCUGGGGGGCGCCCAGCCCUGGGCAUCUCUGGGGGGACGUGGGAGAAAUGGUGGCAGGGCGGAUUUCGUGCCCGUGAUGAUCAUAGCGGGCAUGGGAGGGGUUCAGGUGCGCUGGGAGGGCUACGAUGUGGGAGGCGGGCGCCACAAGGAAAAGUUGGGGGACCUCUGGAUGAGGGGACCUGUGGAGGGCCCGUGUAGCCCCAGCACACCGGGAUCCUGCCGCUGUGCAGGUCUCAGAGGCUGGAGAUGUCCAGGAUGCCCAGCCCUCCCUGGCUGCUGGAAAACCAGGACCAUGCAGGCAGAAUCGGUGGAAAACCCACAGUCCCAACUUCAGCCACAAGGCCCUGCAUGCAGAGGAAGGUCCUGGUCACCGAACACCCUGCAGUCACCGUGUGUGAGGAGUGACCCAGCUGGAGAAACCAUGUGUGGAAUGAACAUUUUUGCACAGAUCAGAGUCCCUUGCACAAAGCCAGAGCAAGUGGGGUGCCGUGACUGUCGCAGAAUCCCCAAUCACAGUAGCUGGGGGCACCUCAUGCCUUGUCCUGUUGUACCAAUAACCCAUUCCUUGACUAAAUGGUCAGUCGCUAAAAAAGGCCCCACUACCAGUAAGUCUGAGGGCUGAUCCGGUGAGAUGAAGAGGCCUCUCAGUUCUCAUUAACACAAGGGAUACACAAAGAAGGAAGGCAUAAGGCUGGGCCCAGUGACCUCAAUGGGAUAUGAAGGCACGUGGCCUCCGAUGGGAUGAAGCUUGCAGUGCCCAGCUCUCCUCGGCUUGUUUCCAUCCAUUUCAGUGGUGCAGGGUCAGCCCAGCUGCAGACAGCGAUUGCUGUAAACCCAGCUGGCACAUUUAUUUCCUCUACCGUCUCUGCUGAGUGUGAUGUAUUAUGGCCAUCAUGGAGUGUAAACCGCGUUCAUUCUCAAACUGCUAAUUAACGGAGCCUUUCUUGUGCAGCUGCCUGAGUCCAAGAGCUGUCAAACCGCUGCUAGUCAAAGGGAAGAAAAUAUUACUUCCUCUGAUGUGAGGUAGAGAUUUUCUGUUGGCAGAGGGGGAGGUUAAUUCAGAGAGAAAUGAGAGUUGUAGGCCUGAGCUGCCAACCAUUUUUACACAUUUCCCUAUGCAGUGCCUACUUCCACCUCCCAGGCCCUAGUGCAAGAACUGGUGCAGUCUGCAGACCUGGGGAAAUGGUCUCGUGCCCUGGGGAACCUGAGCCAUGAAGAUGCAUCCUCUAGCUAGGUACCUCUUGAGUGGUGGUCAUGACACUCAGGGAGCUCUUGCCUGUCUUUGACUCCUGAGCUCAUACUGCCUUGCACAUGGGUCUAAAUGAUUGUGGUUUGCUAAGUGAAAAUAUCUUACAACAUGGGUGGUGCCUUGUUAUCAGAAGCCCCUCUAAAUGUGCCUUAUUCCGUGUGAUAUCUUUAAAGCUCUGUUACCAGGACCUAAUCCAAUGUCCAUUGACUCAGUUGGAGUUUUCCACAACAAUUUUUCAUUAUACGUGUGUGUGUAUACACAAAUGCUAACAAUAUUUUAAUUAUGGUUCUAAAUAAAGAUUCUGUUUUUGAAGUUUAACCACAUUCUCAUUAAUCCAGAAGUGAGAUUCUGCUAUGCGUAAUAGAGAAGCACCCUGAUAAAUGCAUACAAAAUGAGAGACCCUGGAAUCCACAGGAAAAAAAGCAAAACAAAAAACCCCAAAUGGUUAAAAUUAAUGCUCGGUUUAUCUAAAUACCACACAUUCCCCCAAUACUAAUGCUGACUUGUGGGUACGAAGUUCGCUGAGACCACAUUUAGUUUUAUGGUUUGGGUUUAAGGCUCUUGCAUCUGUAUGUCUCAUAAAUUCUUUGCUAUUUAAAAGAAAAUAUGUGUUUAUAUGUGCCUAGGGUUUAUCAUACUGAUUUGAGCUUUUCCCAGGAACAGAAUCAAUGGAUAUCUCACUAUUUUAAGUUCUAAAUACAGCUUGAUGAAAACAGUAACAGCUGGAAUUUUCCAAAGGCCUAUAGGGAUUUCCUAUGGGAAAGCGAAUGGACGUGAAUACUUUUAAAAAUACCAGCUGAUAACAUUCACUCUGUAACUCUCAUGGCCAGUGACACCGGACACUGAAUCAAAUUCCAUAAUAAAGUCAAUGUAAUAACUGUACAUUUAA
Alligator mississippiensis (American alligator) is the source of this 2240-nucleotide long non-coding RNA. RefSeq lists it as uncharacterized. The transcript is spliced from 2 exons. Lineage: Eukaryota; Metazoa; Chordata; Crocodylia; Alligatoridae. The record is from RefSeq and is a predicted model, not a curated record.